GUCUACGGCCAUGCCACCCUGAACAAGCCUGAUCCUGUUUGAUCUUGGAAGCUGAGCAGGGUUGGGCUGGGUUAGUACUUGGAUGGGAGACCACCUAGGAAGACCAGGUGCUGUAGGCA
This 119-nucleotide ribosomal RNA is filed under the name Pteropus alecto (black flying fox). Lineage: Eukaryota; Metazoa; Chordata; Mammalia; Chiroptera; Pteropodidae. The record is from RNAcentral.